UGAACGCUAGCGGCAGGCUUAACACAUGCAAGUCGAGGGGUAACAGGGUUUGCUUGCAAACCGCUGACGACCGGCGCACGGGUGCGUAACGCGUAUAGAACCUACCCUUUACAGGGAGAUAGCCCGGAGAAAUCCGGAUUAAUAUCCCAUAGUACUAUUUUAUGGCAUCAUAAGAUAUUUAAAGUUUUAACGGUAAAGGAUGGCUAUGCGUCUUAUUAGCUAGUAGGUAAGGUAACGGCUUACCUAGGCUACGAUAAGUAGGGGCCCUGAGAGGGGGAUCCCCCACACUGGUACUGAGACACGGACCAGACUCCUACGGGAGGCAGCAGUGAGGAAUAUUGGACAAUGGGCGCAAGCCUGAUCCAGCCAUGCCGCGUGCAGGAAGACGGCCCUACGGGUUGUAAACUGCUUUUAUACAGGAAGAAUAAGGGGUACGUGUACCCUGGUGACGGUACUGUAAGAAUAAGGACCGGCUAACUCC
Molecule: ribosomal RNA, 481 nt
Filed under: uncultured bacterium
Lineage: Bacteria
Description: bacterial SSU rRNA
Rfam family: Bacterial small subunit ribosomal RNA
Source: RNAcentral